This 496-nucleotide ribosomal RNA is filed under the name uncultured bacterium. RNAcentral's name for it is "partial 16S ribosomal RNA". It matches the Rfam family "Bacterial small subunit ribosomal RNA", at positions 28 to 507 of the family's 1533-position model. The record is from RNAcentral.
GAUGAACGCUGGCGGCGUGCCUAAUACAUGCAAGCCGAGCGAACGGACGAGAAGCUUGCUUCUCUGAUGUUAGCGGCGGACGGGUGAGUAACACGUGGAUACCUACCUAUAAGACUGGGAUAACUUCGGGAAACCGUAGCUAAUACCGGAUAAUAUUUUUAACCGCUUGGUUCAAAAGUGAAAGACGGUCUUUUUGUUCUUUAUUAUUGGCUCCGCGUUGUAUUGGUUAGUUGGUAGGGUAACGGCUUUCCAAGGCAACGAUGCGUAGCCGACCUGAGAGGGGGAUCGGCCGCACUGGAGCUGAGACAGGGUCCAGACGCCUACGGGAGGCAGCAGUAGGGAAUGUUCCGCAAUGGGCGAGAGCCUGACGGAGCGACGGCGCGUGAGUGAUGAAGGUCUUCGGAUCGUAAAACUCUGUUAUUAGGGAAGAACAUAUGUGUAAGUAACUGUGCACAUCUUGACGGUACCUAAUCAGAAAGCCACGGCUAACUACGUG